RNAcentral lists this ribosomal RNA (330 nucleotides) under uncultured bacterium. Its description in RNAcentral is "bacterial SSU rRNA". It matches the Rfam family "Bacterial small subunit ribosomal RNA", at positions 568 to 898 of the family's 1533-position model. The record is from RNAcentral.
CGCGUAGGCGGCGGACCAAGUCGAGUGUGAAAGCCCCGGGCUCAACCUGGGAGGUGCGCUCGAGACUGGCCCGCUGGAGUUCGGGAGAGGAGAGUGGAAUUCCCAGUGUAGAGGUGAAAUUCGUAGAUAUUGGGAAGAACACCGGUGGCGAAGGCGGCUCUCUGGACCGAGACUGACGCUGAGGCGCGAAAGCGUGGGGAGCAAACAGGAUUAGAUACCCUGGUAGUCCACGCUGUAAACGAUGUGUGCUAGACGUUGGGGAGCGCAGCUCUUCGGUGUCGCAGCAAACGCUUUAAGCACACCGCCUGGGAGUACGGCCGCAAGGUUAAA